CCGCGUGAGGGAUGAAGUAUCUUGGUAUGUAAACCUCUUUUCUCAAGAAAGAAGUUCUGACGGUACUUGAGGAAUAAGCAUCGGCUAACUCCGUGCCAGCAGCCGCGGUAAUACGGGGGAUGCAAGCGUUAUCCGGAAUCAUUGGGCGUAAAGCGCCUGUAGGUUGUUUAGUAAGUCCAUUGUUAAAGACCAGGGCUUAACCCUGGGAAAGCAAUAGAAACUACUAGACUUGAGUAUGGCAGGGGUAGAGGGAAUUUCUAGUGUAGCGGUGAAAUGCGUAGAUAUUAGAAAGAACACCGGUGGCGAAAGCGCUCUACUGGACCAUUACUGACACUGAGAGGCGAAAGCUAGGGUAGCAAAAGGGAUUAGAUACCCCUGUAGUCCUAGCCGUAAACGAUGGAUACUAGGUGUUGUGCAGUUCGUACAGUAUCUUAGCUAACGCGUUAAGUAUCCCGCCUGGGGAGUACGCUCGCAAGGGUGAAACUCAAAGGAAUUGACGGGGGCCCGCACAAGCGGUGGAGCAUGUGGUUUAAUUCGAUGCAACGCGAAGAACCUUACCAGGGCUUGACAUACUACAGAUCUUUUAGAGAUAAAAGAGUGCCUUCGGGAAUGUAGAUACAGGUGGUGCAUGGCUGUCGUCAGCUCGUGUCGUGAGAUGUUGGGUUAAGUCCCGCAACGAGCGCAACCCUCGUUUUUAGUUGCCAAUUUAUUGGGCUUUCUAGAGAGACUGCCGGUGAAAAACCGGAGGAAGGUGAGGAUG
Molecule: ribosomal RNA, 760 nt
Filed under: Isochrysis galbana
Lineage: Eukaryota; Haptophyta; Isochrysidales; Isochrysidaceae
Also listed under: 1 other name
Description: bacterial SSU rRNA
Rfam family: Bacterial small subunit ribosomal RNA
Source: RNAcentral